UGCUUGUCAAAUUUUCGAGUGAAAUAAUCUAAGGUUGUUUAAACUAAGAUUUUUUACCAAUGGGUGAAUAAAGAAAUUUAUUUGCCUCCCACUUCGGAAAGGAAAUUUGUCUUAACAAAU
This 120-nucleotide non-coding RNA is filed under the name Andreesenella formicacetica. Its description in RNAcentral is "Clostridium formicaceticum MoCo sequence". It matches the Rfam family "Molybdenum/Tungsten riboswitch aptamer (Moco RNA motif)". Lineage: Bacteria; Bacillati; Bacillota; Clostridia; Peptostreptococcales; Natronincolaceae. The record is from RNAcentral.